This 1506-nucleotide ribosomal RNA is filed under the name marine metagenome. Its description in RNAcentral is "bacterial SSU rRNA". It matches the Rfam family "Bacterial small subunit ribosomal RNA". The record is from RNAcentral.
AGAGUUUGAUCCUGGCUCAGGAUGAACGCUAGCGGCAGGCUUAACACAUGCAAGUCGAACGGUAAGGUCUCUUCGGAGAUACACGAGUGGCGAACGGGUGCGUAACGCGUAUGCAACCUACCUUUAACAGAGAGAUAGCCCUGAGAAAUUGGGAUUAAUAUCACAUAAUAUCAUAAUGCAGCAUUGUAUAAUGAUUAAAGCUCCGGCGGUUAAAGAUGGGCAUGCGUGACAUUAGUUAGUUGGUGAGGUAACGGCUCACCAAGACUUCGAUGUCUAGGGGUUCUGAGAGGAUUAUCCCCCACACUGGUACUGAGACACGGACCAGACUCCUACGGGAGGCAGCAGUGAGGAAUAUUGGGCAAUGGACGCAAGUCUGACCCAGCCAUGCCGCGUGCAGGAUGACGGCCCUAUGGGUUGUAAACUGCUUUUAUAUACCAAGAAACGUAGGGACGUGUCCCUGCCUGACGGUAGUAUAUGAAUAAGGAUCGGCUAACUCCGUGCCAGCAGCCGCGGUAAUACGGAGGAUCCAAGCGUUAUCCGGAUUUAUUGGGUUUAAAGGGUGCGCAGGCGGCCUUAUAAGUCAGUGGUGAAAUCUCUCGGCUCAACCGAGAAACUGCCAUUGAUACUGUAGGGCUAGAAUAUAGACGAAGUAGGCGGAAUGUAGCAUGUAGCGGUGAAAUGCUUAGAUAUGCUACAGAACACCGAUCGCGAAGGCAGCUUACUAGGCUAUUAUUGACGCUAAUGCACGAAAGCGUGGGGAGCGAACAGGAUUAGAUACCCUGGUAGUCCACGCCGUAAACGAUGAUCACUCGAUGUUGGCGAUACACAGUCAGCGUCCAAGCGAAAGCAUUAAGUGAUCCACCUGGGGAGUACGAUCGCAAGGUUGAAACUCAAAGGAAUUGACGGGGGCCCGCACAAGCGGAGGAGCAUGUGGUUUAAUUCGAUGAUACGCGAGGAACCUUACCUAGACUUAAAUGUAGAUUGCAUAGAUUGGAAACAGUCUUUUCCUUCGGGACUAUUUACAAGGUGCUGCAUGGUUGUCGUCAGCUCGUGCCGUGAGGUGUCGGGUUAAGUCCCAUAACGAGCGCAACCCCUACCCUUAGUUGCCAGCGGGUCAAGCCGGGGACUCUAAGGGAACUGCCGGCGUAAGCCGAGAGGAAGGUGGGGAUGACGUCAAAUCAGCACGGCCCUUACGUCUAGGGCUACACACGUGCUACAAUGGCCGGUACAGAGGGCAGCCACCUGGUGACAGGGAGCGAAUCUCCAAAGCCGGUCUCAGUUCGGAUCGAAGUCUGCAACUCGACUUCGUGAAGUUGGAUUCGCUAGUAAUCGUAUAUCAGCAAUGAUACGGUGAAUACGUUCCCGGGCCUUGUACACACCGCCCGUCAAACAAUGGAAGCUGGGGGUACCUGAAGUCUGUGAUCUGUUUCGGCAGAAGCGGCCUAGGGUAAAACUAGUAACUGGUGUUAAGUCGUAACAAGGUAGCCGUACCGGAAGGUGUGGCUG